UACAGAGGGGGCAAGCGUUAUUCGGAAUUAUUGGGCGUAAAGGGCGCGUAGGCGGCCUGGCAAGUGGGAGGUGAAAUCCCUCGGCUCAACCGAGGAACUGCCUCUCAAACUGCCUGGCUUGAGUCCGGGAGAGGUGAGUGGAAUUCCCAGUGUAGCGGUGAAAUGCGUAGAUAUUGGGAGGAACACCAGUGGCGAAGGCGGCUCACUGGACCGGAACUGACGCUGAGGCGCGAAAGCGUGGGGAGCAAACGGG
Molecule: unclassified non-coding RNA, 253 nt
Filed under: uncultured Holophagae bacterium
Lineage: Bacteria; Pseudomonadati; Acidobacteriota; Holophagae
Description: contains 16S-23S intergenic spacer region
Rfam family: Bacterial small subunit ribosomal RNA
Source: RNAcentral